AGAGUUUGAUCCUGGCUCAGGACGAACGCUGGCGGCGUGCUUAACACAUGCAAGUCGAGCGAUGAAGCUUCCUUCGGGAAGUGGAUUAGCGGCGGACGGGUGAGUAACACGUGGGUAACCUGCCUCAAAGUGGGGAUAGCCUUCCGAAAGGAAGAUUAAUACCGCAUAAUAUAAGAGAAUCGCAUGAUUUUCUUAUCAAAGAUUUAUUGCUUUGAGAUGGACCCGCGGCGCAUUAGCUAGUUGGUAAGGUAACGGCUUACCAAGGCAACGAUGCGUAGCCGACCUGAGAGGGUGAUCGGCCACAUUGGAACUGAGACACGGUCCAGACUCCUACGGGAGGCAGCAGUGGGAAUAUUGCGCAAUGGGGAAACCCUGACGCAGCAACGCCGCGUGGGUGAUGAAGGUCUUCGGAUUGUAAAGCCCUGUUUUCUAGGACGAUAAUGACGGUACUAGAGGAGGAAGCCACGGCUAACUACGUGCCAGCAGCCGCGGUAAUACGUAGGUGGCGAGCGUUGUCCGGAUUUACUGGGCGUAAAGGGUGCGUAGGCGGAUGUUUAAGUGGGAUGUGAAAUCCCCGGGCUUAACCUGGGGGCUGCAUUCCAAACUGGAUAUCUAGAGUGCAGGAGAGGAAAGCGGAAUUCCUAGUGUAGCGGUGAAAUGCGUAGAGAUUAGGAAGAACACCAGUGGCGAAGGCGGCUUUCUGGACUGUAACUGACGCUGAGGCACGAAAGCGUGGGUAGCAAACAGGAUUAGAUACCCUGGUAGUCCACGCCGUAAACGAUGGAUACUAGGUGUAGGGGGUAUCAACUCCCCCUGUGCCGCAGUUAACACAAUAAGUAUCCCGCCUGGGGAGUACGGUCGCAAGAUUAAAACUCAAAGGAAUUGACGGGGGCCCGCACAAGCAGCGGAGCAUGUGGUUUAAUUCGAAGCAACGCGAAGAACCUUACCUGGACUUGACAUCCCUUGCAUAGCCUAGAGAUAGGUGAAGCCCUUCGGGGCAAGGAGACAGGUGGUGCAUGGUUGUCGUCAGCUCGUGUCGUGAGAUGUUAGGUUAAGUCCUGCAACGAGCGCAACCCUUGUUAUUAGUUGCUACCAUUAAGUUGAGCACUCUAAUGAGACUGCCUGGGUAACCAGGAGGAAGGUGGGGAUGACGUCAAAUCAUCAUGCCCCUUAUGUCCAGGGCUACACACGUGCUACAAUGGUAGGUACAAUAAGACGCAAGACCGUGAGGUGGAGCAAAACUUAUAAAACCUAUCUCAGUUCGGAUUGUAGGCUGCAACUCGCCUACAUGAAGCUGGAGUUGCUAGUAAUCGCGAAUCAGAAUGUCGCGGUGAAUACGUUCCCGGGCCUUGUACACACCGCCCGUCACACCAUGAGAGCUGGUAACACCCGAAGUCCGUGAGGUAACCGUAAGGAGCCAGCGGCCGAAGGUGGGAUUAGUGAUUGGGGUGAAGUCGUAACAAGGUAGCCGUAGGAGAACCUGCGGCUG
Molecule: ribosomal RNA, 1489 nt
Filed under: Clostridium botulinum
Lineage: Bacteria; Bacillati; Bacillota; Clostridia; Eubacteriales; Clostridiaceae
Description: bacterial SSU rRNA
Rfam family: Bacterial small subunit ribosomal RNA
Source: RNAcentral